RNAcentral lists this microRNA precursor (195 nucleotides) under Oryza sativa Japonica Group (Japanese rice). RNAcentral's name for it is "MIR812 microRNA precursor family". It matches the Rfam family "MIR812 microRNA precursor family". The record is from Rfam by way of RNAcentral. Lineage: Eukaryota; Viridiplantae; Streptophyta; Magnoliopsida; Poales; Poaceae.
AAAAAGGCAAACCCUGGGUUUCCGUGUCCAACUUUGACUGUUCGUCUUAUAUGAAAUUUUUUUAUAAUUCGUAUUUCCAUUGUUGUUAGAUGAUAAAACAUGAUUAAUAUUUUAUGCGUGACUUGUCUUUUAAUUUUUUUUAUAAUUUUUUUAAAUAAGGCGGACGGUCGAACGUUGGACACGGAAACCAGGGUU